This 248-nucleotide ribosomal RNA is filed under the name uncultured bacterium. RNAcentral's name for it is "partial 16S ribosomal RNA". It matches the Rfam family "Bacterial small subunit ribosomal RNA", at positions 85 to 334 of the family's 1533-position model. The record is from RNAcentral.
UUGCUGGCGACCGGCGCACGGGUGAGUAACACGUAUCCAACCUGCCGAUAACUCGGGGAUAGCCUUUCGAAAGAAAGAUUAAUACCCGAUAGCAUAAUGAUUCCGCAUGGUUUCAUUAUUAAAGGAUUCCGGUAAAGGAUGGGGGUGCGUUCCAUUAGGUUGUUGGUGAGGUAACGGCUCACCAAGCCUUCGAUGGAUAGGGGUUCUGAGAGGAGGGUCCCCCACAUUGGAACUGAGACACGGUCCAA